UUAAGCGAACAAGCGUACACGGUGGAUGCCCUGGCAGUCAGAGGCGAUGAAGGACGUGCUAAUCUGCGAAAAGCGCCGGUAAGGUGAUAUGAACCGUUAUAACCGGCGAUGUCCGAAUGGGGAAACCCGGUGCACUUCGGUGCAUCAUCGUUAGCUGAAUACAUAGGCUAACGAAGCGAACCGGGGGAACUGAAACAUCUAAGUACCCCGAGGAAAAGAAAUCAACCGAGAUUCCCCCAGUAGCGGCGAGCGAACGGGGAACAGCCCAGAGCCUGAAUCAGCUUGUGUGUCAGUGGAACGGUCUGGAAAGGCCGGCGAUACAGGGUGACAGCCCCGUACACGAAGGCACACAGGCUGUGAGCUCGAUGAGUAGGGCGGGACACGUGAUAUCCUGUCUGAAGAUGGGGGGACCAUCCUCCAAGGCUAAAUACUCCUGACUGACCGAUAGUGAACCAGUACCGUGAGGGAAAGGCGAAAAGAACCCCGGCGAGGGGAGUGAAACAGAACCUGAAACCGUGUACGUACAAGCAGUGGGAGCCUUCGUAAGAGGGUGACUGCGUACCUUUUGUAUAAUGGGUCAGCGACUUAUAUUCUGUAGCAAGGUUAACCGUAUAGGGGAGCCGAAGGGAAACCGAGUCUUAAUUGGGCGUUAAGUUGCAGGGUAUAGACCCGAAACCCGGUGAUCUAGCCAUGGGCAGGUUGAAGGUUGGGUAACACUAACUGGAGGACCGAACCGACUAAUGUUGAAAAAUUAGCGGAUGACCUGUGGCUGGGGGUGAAAGGCCAAUCAAACCGGGAGAUAGCUGGUUCUCCCCGAAAGCUAUUUAGGUAGCGCCUCGUGAACUCAUCUCCGGGGGUAGAGCACUGUUUCGGCUAGGGGGCCAUCCCGGCUUACCAACCCGAUGCAAACUGCGAAUACCGGAGAAUGUUAUCACGGGAGACACACGGCGGGUGCUAACGUCCGUCGUGAAGAGGGAAACAACCCAGACCGCCAGCUAAGGUCCCAAAGUCAUGGUUAAGUGGGAAACGAUGUGGGAAGGCCCAGACAGCCAGGAUGUUGGCUUAGAAGCAGCCAUCAUUUAAAGAAAGCGUAAUAGCUCACUGGUCGAGUCGGCCUGCGCGGAAGAUGUAACGGGGCUAAACCAUGCACCGAAGCUGCGGCAGCGACACUAUGUGUUGUUGGGUAGGGGAGCGUUCUGUAAGCCUGCGAAGGUGUGCUGUGAGGCAUGCUGGAGGUAUCAGAAGUGCGAAUGCUGACAUAAGUAACGAUAAAGCGGGUGAAAAGCCCGCUCGCCGGAAGACCAAGGGUUCCUGUCCAACGUUAAUCGGGGCAGGGUGAGUCGACCCCUAAGGCGAGGCCGAAAGGCGUAGUCGAUGGGAAACAGGUUAAUAUUCCUGUACUUGGUGUUACUGCGAAGGGGGGACGGAGAAGGCUAUGUCAGCCGGGCGACGGUCGUCCCGGUUUAAGCGUGUAGGCUGACUUUCCAGGCAAAUCCGGAAGGUUAAGGCUGAGGCGUGAUGACGAGGCACCACGGUGCUGAAGUGACAAAUGCCCUGCUUCCAGGAAAAGCCUCUAAGCAUCAGGUAACAUCAAAUCGUACCCCAAACCGACACAGGUGGUCAGGUAGAGAAUACCAAGGCGCUUGAGAGAACUCGGGUGAAGGAACUAGGCAAAAUGGUGCCGUAACUUCGGGAGAAGGCACGCUGACAUGUAGGUGAAGCCCCUGCGGGUGGAGCUGAAGUCAGUCGAAGAUACCAGCUGGCUGCAACUGUUUAUUAAAAACACAGCACUGUGCAAACACGAAAGUGGACGUAUACGGUGUGACGCCUGCCCGGUGCCGGAAGGUUAAUUGAUGGGGUUAUCGCAAGAGAAGCUCCUGAUCGAAGCCCCGGUAAACGGCGGCCGUAACUAUAACGGUCCUAAGGUAGCGAAAUUCCUUGUCGGGUAAGUUCCGACCUGCACGAAUGGCGUAAUGAUGGCCAGGCUGUCUCCACCCGAGACUCAGUGAAAUUGAACUCGCUGUGAAGAUGCAGUGUACCCGCGGCAAGACGGAAAGACCCCGUGAACCUUUACUACAGCUUGACACUGAACAUUGAGCCUUGAUGUGUAGGAUAGGUGGGAGGCUUUGAAGCGUGGACGCCAGUCUGCGUGGAGCCAACCUUGAAAUACCACCCUUUAAUGUUUGAUGUUCUAACCUGGCGCCGUGAUCCGGCGUGGGGACAGUGUCUGGUGGGUAGUUUGACUGGGGCGGUCUCCUCCCAAAGUGUAACGGAGGAGCACGAAGGUCAGCUAAUCCUGGUCGGACAUCAGGAGGUUAGUGCAAUGGCAUAAGCUGGCUUGACUGCGAGAGUGACGGCUCGAGCAGGUGCGAAAGCAGGUCAUAGUGAUCCGGUGGUUCUGUAUGGAAGGGCCAUCGCUCAACGGAUAAAAGGUACUCCGGGGAUAACAGGCUGAUACCGCCCAAGAGUUCAUAUCGACGGCGGUGUUUGGCACCUCGAUGUCGGCUCAUCACAUCCUGGGGCUGAAGUAGGUCCCAAGGGUAUGGCUGUUCGCCAUUUAAAGUGGUACGCGAGCUGGGUUUAGAACGUCGUGAGACAGUUCGGUCCCUAUCUGCCGUGGGCGCUGGAGAAUUGAGGGGGGCUGCUCCCAGUACGAGAGGACCGGAGUGGACGCAUCACUGGUGUUCGGGUUGUCAUGCCAAUGGCACUGCCCGGUAGCUAAAUGCGGAAGAGAUAAGUGCUGAAAGCAUCUAAGCACGAAACUUGCCCCGAGAUGAGUUCUCCCUGAGACUGUAAGUCUCCUGAAGGAACGUUGAAGACGACGACGUUGAUAGGCCGGGUGUGUAAGCGCAGCGAUGCGUUGAGCUAACCGGUACUAAUGAACCGUGAGGCUUAACCUU
RNAcentral lists this ribosomal RNA (2900 nucleotides) under Cronobacter malonaticus LMG 23826. Its description in RNAcentral is "bacterial LSU rRNA". It matches the Rfam family "Bacterial large subunit ribosomal RNA". The record is from RNAcentral. Lineage: Bacteria; Pseudomonadati; Pseudomonadota; Gammaproteobacteria; Enterobacterales; Enterobacteriaceae.